CAGCAGCCACGGUAAUACAGAGGGUGCGAGCGUUAAUCGGAUUUACUGGGCGUAAAGCGUGCGUAGGCGGCUUUUUAAGUCGGAUGUGAAAUCCCUGAGCUUAACUUAGGAAUUGCAUUCGAUACUGGGAAGCUAGAGUAUGGGAGAGGAUGGUAGAAUUCCAGGUGUAGCGGUGAAAUGCGUAGAGAUCUGGAGGAAUACCGAUGGCGAAGGCAGCCAUCUGGCCUAAUACUGACGCUGAGGUACGAAAGCAUGGGGAGCAAACAGGAUUAGAUACCCCAGUAGCCCUGUCUCUUAUACA
RNAcentral lists this ribosomal RNA (301 nucleotides) under uncultured bacterium. RNAcentral's name for it is "partial 16S ribosomal RNA". It matches the Rfam family "Bacterial small subunit ribosomal RNA", at positions 509 to 809 of the family's 1533-position model. The record is from RNAcentral.